Molecule: ribosomal RNA, 582 nt
Filed under: uncultured bacterium
Lineage: Bacteria
Description: partial 16S ribosomal RNA
Rfam family: Bacterial small subunit ribosomal RNA
Source: RNAcentral
UGGGGAAUUUUGGACAAUGGGCGCAAGCCUGAUCCAGCCAUGCCGCGUGCGGGAAGAAGGCCUUCGGGUUGUAAACCGCUUUUGUCAGGGAAGAAAUCCUCUGAGUUAAUACCUCGGGAGGAUGACGGUACCCGAAGAAUAAGCACCGGCUAACUACGUGCCAGCAGCCGCGGUAAUACGUAGGGUGCAAGCGUUAAUCGGAAUUACUGGGCGUAAAGCGUGCGCAGGCGGUUUUGUAAGACAGAGGUGAAAUCCCCGGGCUCAACCUGGGAACUGCCUUUGUGACUGCAAGGCUUGAGUGCGGCAGAGGGGGAUGGAAUUCCGCGUGUAGCAGCGAAAUGCGUAGAUAUGCGGAGGAACACCGAUGGCGAAGGCAAUCCCCUGGGCCUGCACUGACGCUCAUGCACGAAAGCGUGGGGAGCAAACAGGAUUAGAUACCCUGGUAGUCCACGCCCUAAACGAUGUCAACUGGUUGUUGGGAAGGUUCCUUCUCAGUAACGUAGCUAACGCGUGAAGUUGACCGCCUGGGGAGUACGGCCGCAAGGUUGAAACUCAAAUGAAUUGACGGGGUCAUAGCUGUUU